RNAcentral lists this ribosomal RNA (1480 nucleotides) under Lacticaseibacillus casei. RNAcentral's name for it is "bacterial SSU rRNA". It matches the Rfam family "Bacterial small subunit ribosomal RNA". Lineage: Bacteria; Bacillati; Bacillota; Bacilli; Lactobacillales; Lactobacillaceae. The record is from RNAcentral.
GCUGGCGGCGUGCCUAAUACAUGCAAGUCGAACGAGUUCUCGUUGAUGAUCGGUGCUUGCACCGAGAUUCAACAUGGAACGAGUGGCGGACGGGUGAGUAACACGUGGGUAACCUGCCCUUAAGUGGGGGAUAACAUUUGGAAACAGAUGCUAAUACCGCAUAGAUCCAAGAACCGCAUGGUUCUUGGCUGAAAGAUGGCGUAAGCUAUCGCUUUUGGAUGGACCCGCGGCGUAUUAGCUAGUUGGUGAGGUAAUGGCUCACCAAGGCGAUGAUACGUAGCCGAACUGAGAGGUUGAUCGGCCACAUUGGGACUGAGACACGGCCCAAACUCCUACGGGAGGCAGCAGUAGGGAAUCUUCCACAAUGGACGCAAGUCUGAUGGAGCAACGCCGCGUGAGUGAAGAAGGCUUUCGGGUCGUAAAACUCUGUUGUUGGAGAAGAAUGGUCGGCAGAGUAACUGUUGUCGGCGUGACGGUAUCCAACCAGAAAGCCACGGCUAACUACGUGCCAGCAGCCGCGGUAAUACGUAGGUGGCAAGCGUUAUCCGGAUUUAUUGGGCGUAAAGCGAGCGCAGGCGGUUUUUUAAGUCUGAUGUGAAAGCCCUCGGCUUAACCGAGGAAGCGCAUCGGAAACUGGGAAACUUGAGUGCAGAAGAGGACAGUGGAACUCCAUGUGUAGCGGUGAAAUGCGUAGAUAUAUGGAAGAACACCAGUGGCGAAGGCGGCUGUCUGGUCUGUAACUGACGCUGAGGCUCGAAAGCAUGGGUAGCGAACAGGAUUAGAUACCCUGGUAGUCCAUGCCGUAAACGAUGAAUGCUAGGUGUUGGAGGGUUUCCGCCCUUCAGUGCCGCAGCUAACGCAUUAAGCAUUCCGCCUGGGGAGUACGACCGCAAGGUUGAAACUCAAAGGAAUUGACGGGGGCCCGCACAAGCGGUGGAGCAUGUGGUUUAAUUCGAAGCAACGCGAAGAACCUUACCAGGUCUUGACAUCUUUUGAUCACCUGAGAGAUCAGGUUUCCCCUUCGGGGGCAAAAUGACAGGUGGUGCAUGGUUGUCGUCAGCUCGUGUCGUGAGAUGUUGGGUUAAGUCCCGCAACGAGCGCAACCCUUAUGACUAGUUGCCAGCAUUUAGUUGGGCACUCUAGUAAGACUGCCGGUGACAAACCGGAGGAAGGUGGGGAUGACGUCAAAUCAUCAUGCCCCUUAUGACCUGGGCUACACACGUGCUACAAUGGAUGGUACAACGAGUUGCGAGACCGCGAGGUCAAGCUAAUCUCUUAAAGCCAUUCUCAGUUCGGACUGUAGGCUGCAACUCGCCUACACGAAGUCGGAAUCGCUAGUAAUCGCGGAUCAGCACGCCGCGGUGAAUACGUUCCCGGGCCUUGUACACACCGCCCGUCACACCAUGAGAGUUUGUAACACCCGAAGCCGGUGGCGUAACCCUUUUAGGGAGCGAGCCGUCUAAGGUGGGACAAAUGAUUA